CGCCCCAGGUCAUUAUGGCCAGCAUCACCACGAGAACACCAAUCAGAUUCACCCCGAAUCCUGCCUUCACCUGAGACAGACGACAACAACACUGGGCCCCCAUACUACACAAUGAGGAUGAGGAAGUGAUUUGCUGUUUUGAGUGCAAUACCAAAAGGUAGCUACGUACUUCUCGAACAGCGACGUCCACCCGGGUACGAAGCCCGGUUCUCUGGUGAACCACAGCAGAGUCAUCAGGAUGAAGAACACUCCUGUCACCACCUCUGGGUAGCUACAGCCCAGAAGAAACAACACACAGAAUGGGAUUGGGUCAACUUACUUCCCUUUUCAGUCAUCGCAGAGGCAUUACAAAGCAAUGGGACGGGACUUCUCAGGUUCUACCUAGAAAGCAUCCAUCCAUACGCUACUCCACAUAUGUAACAGUAUUGAGUGUGUUAUUUAGAGCGACCGAAAGGGGCGUACAUGUUAGAGUAUACCUCCUUAGAGGCCCCAAGUAUCCAGGGCAGCUUACUGUACAUACACAAGGAGUGUGGUAAAUACUGUAAAUGCUUAGAGAUCUGAUUUUACACUAAGAGAAGUGUUAAUUUGGCAGUAGUGGGAGUCAGGUGCUCAGAUGACCGUAUUUACAGUUGAACAAGAAUUAUGUGAAAGGAAUAUUUUUGGUUUGAAUGUACGUUUGUGUGUUUGUACACUGAACAAAAAUAUAAACGCAACAUGUAAAGUGUUGGUCCCAUGUUUCAUGACCUGAAAUAAAAGA
Long non-coding RNA from Oncorhynchus keta (chum salmon), 757 nucleotides. RefSeq lists it as uncharacterized. The record is from RefSeq and is a predicted model, not a curated record. The transcript has 4 exons. NCBI's taxonomy places the organism in Eukaryota, Metazoa, Chordata, Actinopteri, Salmoniformes, Salmonidae.